Molecule: ribosomal RNA, 250 nt
Filed under: uncultured bacterium
Lineage: Bacteria
Description: partial 16S ribosomal RNA
Rfam family: Bacterial small subunit ribosomal RNA
Source: RNAcentral
UACAGAGACUGCAAGCGUUAUUCGGAUUCACUGGGCGUAAAGGGUGCGCAGGCGGUUGGGUGUGUCAGAUGUGAAAUCCCGAGGCUUAACCUCGGAACUGCGUCUGAAACUACUCGACUAGAGUACUGGAGAGGGAAACGGAAUUCACGGUGUAGCAGUGAAAUGCGUAGAUAUCGUGAGGAACACCAGAGGCGAAGGCGGUUUCCUGGACAGUUACUGACGCUCAGGCACGAAAGCAUGGGGAGCAAAA